Amborella trichopoda is the source of this 3060-nucleotide non-coding RNA. Lineage: Eukaryota; Viridiplantae; Streptophyta; Magnoliopsida; Amborellales; Amborellaceae. The record is from RefSeq and is a predicted model, not a curated record.
UUUAUCCGUUAGGCCUAAUAAACCGCUUCGGAUUCAAUUUUUCCUGCACCGGCCCUGCCCUUCCAAACCCUAAACCUCAGUUAUCUUCUAACGUCUCUCUGCUCUCGCAACCUCUCUUCUCUCUCUACCAUAGCUUUAAUCUCUCUCUACCCUCCUCCCUCUUCUCUCUGACCUAACUUCUCUCUACUUGAAAGUAACAUAACAUUCACACGCUCAUUUGGAAGUCCAGCUUCUGUUUUGAUGCUGUCAACUGGUAUUCCCAAGCAAAAAUUCAUCCUCAAACCAUCGUACGCGAAUAAAUUCCAUGCUUUUGAUAUCCAAAGUUGAUUGGGUUGGUUUCUAAUGUGAACAAGUAUAUUGAAGGGGAUAAAUUGAAGGUUAGCUGAAAUCUUUUGGAUUUUUUUAUAGGCAUAAUUAAUAUUUAUGGAUUCAGAAAAUUUUUCACGAUUGUGGGUUUUCGAUGAUUUUUGGUGGCCUUUACUUGAUGUUUGUUUUUAUCUUUGUGAUUGACGAAAGUAAAAUUUAUUCAUGCAUUGGCUUUGUGAAAUGAGAGCUGAUUCUUACAAUAGUAUAUUAACUUUUCUAUGGGGAGCCUAUUAUAGAACUGCACAAAAAACCAAAUUCUUGAUUAGAAUGCAAGGUUAUUAUUUUGCUAUAAUGAAACCAAAUUCUUGAUUAGAAUAUUAUUAUGCUAGAAUAAAAUCUUAUUAUAGACUUGCUUUUUGAGAUUAUUUUAUUUUUUAGUUUUUGGGGUCAAAUCUAUAUGAUGCAUUGGUUUUUGGAUUUUGAUAUUUAAUUAGGUCUUUUGUGAUUGACAAUAUCUUUUUUGGUGCAUUAUUGCAAUAUUGUUGAGAAUAUUUGUCACACUUUUGCUGAAUAAGUUACUCAAAAAAAGAAUUGGGUUAAUUAUUAAUGGAAAACAAUGGGUUAGGUAUGUCAUUUGAAAUUAUCCAGUUUGGGCCAGUGUUACCAUGUGACAGGCCACCAAACCAGUCAAGGGUAUGCUCCAGUCAAAUCACUCAGACCGCCAGUCAAACUGGCUGGAUUAGAUUUUAAAAAAUAAAGAGAAGUAAAAAAAACUAUCUAAAAAUAUGAAAUAUAUUAUAUAAAAAGUUGCCCAAUUUUGGGUCUAACCAGACAGAACCUCGGUCCAACUUACCAAAACUAAUCAAACAUAGGUUUUGACUGGUUUUCCAACGAACUCGAUUUUUGCUGACCGGUCAAGGAAUUUUUUGUAAUCCAAUUGGAUUGAUCAGCCGGUAUGUUACAAUCUUGGUAACUAUUGUUUCAAGUACCAUGUGCUUUACAUGAAUGAUUAAAAGAUAGUUAGUCACCUGUAUAAGAUAGCGAGUCAUAAAAGGGGUUUUCUUAUAAUAUGUCAUGGUAAUAUCAAUUAAAAAAGGGAAAAACACACAGAUCCCCACUCCACAAAAUGCAUCUCAUUUAGAUCCUUUUCUAUUGAUCCCCUUUCUUUUAUCAGACGUAAACCCCCGUCCCCACUUUUUUCCUAGUACCAAUUACUAAACAAUCCCUAUUUUUUGUUUAAUUUCAACAUCAUCCAAAAUAAAAAAUGAGCUAUUCAAAACUGAAUCUCUCAUGAACCUGUCUCUUCCCUAUCUUCAACACAGACACAGACACAAACUCUUUCUCUCUCUGCCUCUCUCUUAACACACUCCUAUCUCUACCCCUUCACUCUCUCUCUCUCUAUCCCUUAUAUGCAAGGAACCAAUUUAGUCGCAAAAGAUUGUUACGAUAAGCAUUGACUUAGUUGCAGAGGAAGUUCAUAUUGAGAAGCCGAGAUGCAGCAUGAUGAGGUCAUAUGGCAAAUCAUUCGGCACAAACAUUGUAGUUUCAUGGCCAAAACUACAACUCAGAUUUUUUGUCGAAAUGAGUACAAUGUGACAGGUCUCUGCAACCGGAGCUCUUGCCCACUUGCCAAUAGUCGGUAUGCAACAAUCGGUGAACAUGAAGGGAUACUGUAUUUGUAUAUGAAGUCGAUAGAAAGGGCCCAUAUGCCAAACAAGUUGUGGGAAAGAGUAAAACUUCCCAGGAGCUAUGAGAAGGCACUGCAAACUAUUGACAAGCAUUUGCAACAUUGGCCCAAGUUUCUUGUCCAUAAAAACAAGCAACGUCUCACCAAAAUGACUCAGUAUUUGAUAAGGAAGAGGAAGCUAGCAUUGAAAGUUCGGGACAAAAUUAUGACCAUGCCUACAAAUAGAAGAAGAGAGAAGCUAGAAGAGAGGCAAAAGCAGAAAUGGCGGCUGUUUUGGAUAGAGCUAUUGAAAAGGAAUUGCUAGAACGACUGAAGAGUGGAACAUAUGGUGACAUAUACAAUUUCCCUAUUGAGCAAUAUGAGAAGGCGGUUGGAAAAAUAGAGGUUGCUGGUGAAGAGGACGAUGAAGAAGAGGAGCCAGAAGUGGAGUUUGUUGAAGCUCCUGAACUUGAGGAAGAAGAAGAUAUGGAAGAUUUUAUUGGAUUCCCUAUGGAUGAUGCUCAUAUGAGUGACGAUGAUGGGACAAUGGAUGAAGACCCCAUCAGUGAUGGAACUAGUUCAAAGAGAUUGCAUGAAAAUUCAAUAUUAGAUGAAAGAAAACUUGAGGCAGAUGGUGGCAAAGCAAAAUCUAAAAAGAAACCUCGACUACAUGUGGAGAUAUUAUUUCAUCUUUUGCUUUGCAACGUUCAAUGGAUUCAAUGGACAUGCCUGCAACUAGCCUUCCUGGUUCUGCGACUGCAUCAGGUUGAAUACGAAGAUGCUGCUGACAAAGAGAGAGCCUUUUGAUGGGAAGUCCAGAGAUUUCCACUACCCAAUUUCACGUAUCCUUCCUCGAGUGUCACAGAGCAUUGUGCAGUAAUUUUCUCCCCUUGUUUGCUUCCUAGAUGUCAUUAGCCUAUCCAAAUGGCUGGCUAGGAAUCAAAUUCAACAAGGGCAGCCAUAUCCGUUUAGCGAGAGAGAGAGAGAGAGAGAGAUUUGCAUGUACUUAUUGAGUAGGAUAUAUAUGGCAAUGAUCUAAUGCAACGGUUGUAUCAUAGUAUAAUGUAACAACAUUUCAUGUUUGUGGU